This 428-nucleotide ribosomal RNA is filed under the name Trichadenotecnum sabahense. RNAcentral describes it as "partial 16S rRNA". Lineage: Eukaryota; Metazoa; Arthropoda; Insecta; Psocodea; Psocidae. The record is from RNAcentral.
UCCAAUCUGCUCACUGAAAUUUUAAAGAGCCGCAGUAUACUGACUGUGCAAAGGUAGCAUAAUCAAUAGUUUUUUAAUUGAGAACUUGUAUGAAAGAUUAGACAAAAAAUUUAUUUUCUUUGUUUUAUUGAAUUGAAUUUUAAUUUUAAGUGAAAAUGCUUAGCUAUUUAUAAUAGACGAGAAGACCCUAUAGAUUUUUAUUGUAUAAAUAAAUUUUAUAAUAGUUUAAUAAACCAAUUUCAUUGGGGUGAUUUUGUAAUAUGAAAAACUUAAUUUUAUAAAACCAAAAAUAAUUGAAAAUUUGAUCUAAAAAUUUUAAAGGAAAGAUUAAAUUACCUUAGGGAUAACAGCGUAAUUUUUUUUACGAGUUCAUAUCUAUAAAAAAGCUUGCGACCUCGAUGUUGAAUUAAGAUAAUAUGUUGAAGUAG